CCAGACUCCUACGGGAGGCAGCAGUGGGGAAUAUUGCACAAUGGGGGAAACCCUGAUGCAGCGACGCCGCGUGAGUGAAGAAGUAUUUCGGUAUGUAAAGCUCUAUCAGCAGGGAAGAAAAUGACGGUACCUGACUAAGAGGCCCCGGCUAACUACGUGCCAGCAGCCGCGGUAAUACGUAGGGGGCAAGCGUUAUCCGGAUUUACUGGGUGUAAAGGGAGCGUAGACGGUGAUGCAAGUCAGAAGUGAAAGCCCGGGGCUCAACUCCGGGACUGCUUUUGAAACUGUGUGACUGGAGUGCGGGAGAGGUAAGCGGAAUUCCUGGUGUAGCGGUGAAAUGCGUAGAUAUCAGGAGGAACACCAGUGGCGAAGGCGGCUUACUGGACUGUAACUGACGUUGAGGCUCGAAAGCGUGGGGAGCAAACAGGAUUAGAUACCCCCGUAA
This 445-nucleotide ribosomal RNA is filed under the name uncultured bacterium. RNAcentral's name for it is "bacterial SSU rRNA". It matches the Rfam family "Bacterial small subunit ribosomal RNA", at positions 331 to 793 of the family's 1533-position model. The record is from RNAcentral.